GAUGAAGAACGUAGCGAAAUGCGAUAAGUAAUGUGAAUUGCAGAAUUCAGUGAAUCAUCGAAUCUUUGAACGCACAUUGCGCCCGCCAGCAUUCUGGCGGGCAUGCCUGUUCGAGCGUCAUUUCAACCCUCGAGCCCCCCCGGGGGCCUCGGUGUUGGGGGACGGCACACCAGCCGCCCCCGAAAUGCAGUGGCGACCCCGCCGCAGCCUCCCCUGCGUAGUAGCACACACCUCGCACCGGAGCGCGGAGGCGGUCACGCCGUAAAACGCCCAACUUUCUUAGAGUUGACCUCGGAUCAGGUAGGAAUACCCGCUGAACUUAAGCAUAUCAUAAGCGGAGGA
This 342-nucleotide unclassified non-coding RNA is filed under the name soil metagenome. RNAcentral describes it as "partial contains 5.8S ribosomal RNA, internal transcribed spacer 2, and large subunit ribosomal RNA". The stretch from base 1 to 120 matches the Rfam family "5.8S ribosomal RNA", at positions 35 to 154 of the family's 154-position model. The record is from RNAcentral.